Gadus macrocephalus (Pacific cod) is the source of this 885-nucleotide long non-coding RNA. RefSeq lists it as uncharacterized. The record is from RefSeq and is a predicted model, not a curated record. NCBI's taxonomy places the organism in Eukaryota, Metazoa, Chordata, Actinopteri, Gadiformes, Gadidae. The transcript is spliced from 4 exons.
AAAAGGUGGCUAAAUGGACCUCAUUAAUUAACCACAUUCAGAACAUACACAGCCACGACAACCCAGCUUUCCCCAAAUUGCCUCCACCCUGUUUGCCGAACAAGAGAUCGUAAAAAGUGGUUUCAGCCAGGCACCAAAGCCCUCUAUAAAGUGGAAAAAAUCCUUACAAACAAGAGGGUCCUGACUGACCUGGAAAAGCUGAGCUCAAAGUACCAGACCUCAACACUGGAAGCCUUCCACAGUGUUAUUUUGCGUUUUACACCAAAAAAAUUGGUUUUCCCUUUUAUUGGGAUGUUGUGCAGACUGUACCUGGCAGCCAUGCAUUUCAAUGAGAAUGCUGCCCGUUCCCAAGAGAAGACAAACUCAGGAAGACUGAGGUACAAACUCAGUUUCCCAAAAGCAAAAAAAGGAGCAGCUACGGUGAAAGCAGUAACAACACAACCAACAUACUGCUAUACCCUCAGCCUGAGGCAUCUCCUCUUUGAAGAGGUAGUUUCUAACCCCCUGCCCUACUUGGAGGAAAGUCAGAAGAUUCCUGUGCCCAGUUCCCUAUCGUCCCAACAAGAACGUCCACCCUUAGAAGACGCUAUUGCGGCCUAUGUAUCUCGCUUUAGAGUGGAGGAGGUUUAAAUCCAUCAUUUUGGCCUUCCACAUCAGGGAACUCCCUGCGUAUGUAUUGGACCACACAAGAGGGGAUGACAACACGUAUCUUCCUGCCAAGAUAUCCCCAGCACCAGCUGACAAAUGACCUGUCGGCCAAGUACCUGCAAUGGCUGUCAAAAAGCAGAGGACAUUGUUGUUUAUGUAUAUAUGGCCAAGGCUGAACUGUAUAUAGUGUGUGAGUUAUGUUUUGUCACGUGUAAAUAGAAUAAAAAAUUAUCAUUA